This 460-nucleotide ribosomal RNA is filed under the name uncultured bacterium. RNAcentral describes it as "partial 16S ribosomal RNA". It matches the Rfam family "Bacterial small subunit ribosomal RNA", at positions 338 to 795 of the family's 1533-position model. The record is from RNAcentral.
CCUACGGGAGGCAGCAGUGAGGAAUAUUGGUCAAUGGACGCGAGUCUGAACCAGCCAAGCCGCGUGCAGGAAGACGGCUCUAUGAGUUGUAAACUGCUUUUGUACGGGAGUAAACACAGACACGUGUAUCUGUCUGCAUGUAUCGUACGAAUAAGGAUCGGCUAACUCCGUGCCAGCAGCCGCGGUAAUACGGAGGAUUCGAGCGUUAUCCGGAUUUAUUGGGUUUAAAGGGUGCGUAGGCGGGCGGUUAAGUUAGAGGUGAAAUCUCGAGGCUCAACCUCGGAAUUGCAUGUGAUACUGGUCGUCUAGAGAGCAGUUGCGGUAGGCGGAAUGUAUGGUGUAGCGGUGAAAUGCUUAGAUAUCACGCAGAACACCGAUUGCGAAGGCAGCUUACCGGGCUACAUCUGACGCUGAGGCACGAAAGCGUGGGGAUCAAACAGGAUUAGAUACACCAGUAGUC